Molecule: transfer RNA, 76 nt
Filed under: Candidatus Roizmanbacteria bacterium CG_4_10_14_3_um_filter_39_13
Lineage: Bacteria; Candidatus Roizmaniibacteriota
Also listed under: 1 other name
Description: tRNA-Lys
Rfam family: tRNA
About the family: Transfer RNA (tRNA) molecules are approximately 80 nucleotides in length. Their secondary structure includes four short double-helical elements and three loops (D, anti-codon, and T loops).
Source: RNAcentral
GGGUCCGUAGCUCAAUUGGUAGAGCAUCUCCCUCUUAAGGAGGUGGUUGUGAGUUCAAAUCUCACCGGACUCACAA